GACGAACGCUGGCGGCGUGCUUAACACAUGCAAGUCGAACGGAAAGGCCCUGCUUUUGUGGGGUUCUCGAGUGGCGAACGGGUGAGUAACACGUGAGUAACCUGCCCUUGACUUUGGUAUAAUUUCAGGAAACUGGGUCUAAUACCGGAUAGGAGCUCCUGCUGCAUGGUGGGGUUUGGAAAGUUUCGGCGGUUGGGGAUGGACUCGCGGCUUAUCAGCUUGUUGGUGGGUUAGUGGCUUACCAAGGCUUUGACGGGUAGCCGUCCUGAGAGGGUGACCGGCGAAAUUGGGACUGAGAUACGGCACAGACUCCAACGGGAGGCAGCAGUGGGGAAUAUUGCACAAUGGGCGGAAGCCUGAUGCAGAAACGCAGCGUGCGGGAUGACGGCCUUCGGGUUGUAAACCGCUUUCGCCUGUGACGAAGCGUGAGUGACGGUAAUGGGUAAAGAAGCACCGGCUAACUACGUG
RNAcentral lists this ribosomal RNA (468 nucleotides) under uncultured bacterium. RNAcentral describes it as "partial 16S ribosomal RNA". It matches the Rfam family "Bacterial small subunit ribosomal RNA", at positions 28 to 507 of the family's 1533-position model. The record is from RNAcentral.